AUGGCCAAGAGUGGCCGCCUGGUUCUUCUCAAUGCCGCCUUGUCAUCUAUUGAUAUUUACAUGAUGACGAUUCACAAAUUACCGGUGUGGGUCCUGAAAUGGCUUAUUCAGAUCUGCCGCGCGUGGCUAUGUAGCGGGGAGAACUCUUGUAAUGGCGGGAAGUGCAGAGUUAACUGGCAGGCUCUGGCGCGCCCUAAAACCCUGGGUGACCUUGGGGUUAUGGACCUGGAAAAAUUCGGCCGUGCCCUUCGCAUCCGAUGGUUAUGGAUGUCCUGGAAGGAUCAGUAGAGACCAUGGGUUGACCUGGAACUUCCAUGUGAUGCGUCGGAUCAUGCCCUCUUCAAUAUGGCCACAACCGUCACGCUGCAGGACGGUUGCAUUGCAUGA
This 387-nucleotide ribosomal RNA is filed under the name Triticum aestivum (bread wheat). RNAcentral's name for it is "partial small subunit ribosomal RNA". The record is from RNAcentral. Lineage: Eukaryota; Viridiplantae; Streptophyta; Magnoliopsida; Poales; Poaceae.